UAGUGUGCAGUGGGGGAAGUUCUGUCGGACCAUCCACAAUAUUCAACAGUGGGCCGUGUGGACAGACGUCGACAAAAAGAUAUCCAUAUCUUUUAGAAACAGCAGACAGAGCUACCUGCUAACUGUAUCGUGGCAGGACAGACGAUGGGAACCAGACUUGUCUGUGACAUGAUUCAAAAUGAAAACAGUGUUGAUUUCAAAAUAGCCAGGAUACUCAGCAUAAACGAUGCAGCUGAUGGUUUUGGACAGUGUACUUCCAAAUGUUACUUCCAGUCUGACGUUUCCUUG
This is a long non-coding RNA of Mizuhopecten yessoensis (Yesso scallop), 288 nucleotides long. RefSeq lists it as uncharacterized. The record is from RefSeq and is a predicted model, not a curated record. Lineage: Eukaryota; Metazoa; Mollusca; Bivalvia; Pectinida; Pectinidae. The transcript is spliced from 3 exons.